RNAcentral lists this ribosomal RNA (496 nucleotides) under uncultured bacterium. Its description in RNAcentral is "partial 16S ribosomal RNA". It matches the Rfam family "Bacterial small subunit ribosomal RNA", at positions 29 to 507 of the family's 1533-position model. The record is from RNAcentral.
AUGAACGCUGGCGGCGUGCCUAAUACAUGCCAGUCGAGCGAACAGACGAGGAGCUUGCUCCUCUGACGUUAGCGGCGGACGGGUGAGUAACACGUGGAUAACCUACCUAUAAGACUGGGAUAACUUCGGGAAACCGGAGCUAAUACCGGAUAAUAUAUUGAACCGCAUGGUUCAAUAGUGAAAGACGGUUUUGCUGUCACUUAUAGAUGGAUCCGCGCCGCAUUAGCUAGUUGGUAAGGUAACGGCUUACCAAGGCAACGAUGCGUAGCCGACCUGAGAGGGGGAUCGGCCACACUGGAACUGAGACACGGUCCAGACUCCUACGGGAGGCAGCAGUAGGGAAUCUUCCGCAAAGGGCGAAAGCCUGACGGAGCAACGCCGCGUGAGUGAUGAAGGUCUUCGGAUCGUAAAACUCUGUUAUUAGGGAAGAACAAAUGUGUAAGUAACUAUGCACGUCUUGACGGUACCUAAUCAGAAAGCCACGGCUAACUACGUG